Molecule: ribosomal RNA, 457 nt
Filed under: Neisseria mucosa
Lineage: Bacteria; Pseudomonadati; Pseudomonadota; Betaproteobacteria; Neisseriales; Neisseriaceae
Description: bacterial SSU rRNA
Rfam family: Bacterial small subunit ribosomal RNA
Source: RNAcentral
AUUGAACGCUGGCGGCAUGCUUUACACAUGCAAGUCGGACGGCAGCACAGAGAAGCUUGCUUCUUGGGUGGCGAGUGGCGAACGGGUGAGUAACAUAUCGGAACGUACCGAGCAGUGGGGGAUAACUAAUCGAAAGAUUAGCUAAUACCGCAUAUAUUCUGAGGAAGAAAGCAGGGGACCAUUUGGCCUUGCGCUGUUUGAGCGGCCGAUAUCUGAUUAGCUAGUUGGUGGGGUAAAGGCCUACCAAGGCGACGAUCAGUAGCGGGUCUGAGAGGAUGAUCCGCCACACUGGGACUGAGACACGGCCCAGACUCCUACGGGAGGCAGCAGUGGGGAAUUUUGGACAAUGGGCGCAAGCCUGAUCCAGCCAUGCCGCGUGUCUGAAGAAGGCCUUCGGGUUGUAAAGGACUUUUGUCAGGAAAGAAAAAGGCGGGGUUAAUACCCCUGUCUGAUGACG